UAACGCCUGUCAGUGAGUGGGGAUGCAGGGCUGAGGUCAGCCACCGCGCAAGCGCUGGACACACUCUCCCCCCAGGCAAACCCAGAGAAGAGCAGCUCUGGUUGGGUUCAUCUGGACACAGGCACAGAUCCAUCCAGAAGCAACUCACUACCCCCGCAGCGGGACGGCUGGGCCUAGUGGACGAGGAAGGACAUAGGGGUCUUAACCCAGGGGAGACUCCACUCAUUUACUGUCGCUUCCUGAACACCAGCUCCUUUGUGUGUACACCACGUCCACCACGUCCCCACCGACCCUCCACCUGGCAGGUGGUUUUCUGAGAGUAAGAACUCCUUGUGCGAUCUCUCUGCCUGCUUCAGCUUCGGUGUUUUCCUCCUGCUGAGGGCCAAACGACUCUAAACGUGGUGUGAACUGGGAGACAUCCAGAGAAGGCUCGGGGAGGCUGCGAGGCCAGCGGGAACUGCACAACUGCGCGAGCCACGCGCCACCCCAGGGAUGGCCAGGGCCUGUGCCACUUAGGGGGCGCAUCCAGCAGGGCCCAACAGGGCUCUUCAUUACGUCCCCACAGCGCCAGACCGGCAGAAAAACGGUAGCAGCUUCCUGGUCUGAGAGCAUAUCACUCAAGACUACCUGCUUUGCUCUUAAGCUCACUGCUGAGAUCCUUGUUCUGGGAGGAAGAGCAGAAGCUGAAGGACCCUAAAUUUGUAUCAGACAUACCAACCAGGAGCUUCUGAAUUUCAAACCAGACAAGAGCAAGGUUCUGGAUGUUCUCAUGGCAACCCUGAUUGGCAUCCCAGAAGAAGCCUUCUGGAUCUCCAACUGGAUACUCAGUGGCUUCCACUGGGCAAUGUUUGCAUCAAAGGCCUGUUCGCCUGCCACUUGAGAGAUGCGCUGGGGCCUGAGAGAGAGCCCUCCUCCCCCUCCCUGCCCCACCCAACCUCUGACUCCUCCCGACCAUGCUCCUUCCUGCGACACCAAGGUGGGGCCCAGCUGCCCUCCCCACUGAGCCUUAAGUGACUCAGUGGAAGUCAGUAGCCACUUCCCCCCACACCCACACUUACAUUCCAGUGGCCAGCUCACUCACUUUUUGGCACUGGACCCCACACCCACCAGGCCUCUGCUUAGAGUAAAUAAUCAUCUCUUUUAUAGGACGAUUUACGACCAGGGCCGGCCCCAUAUUAGAAGGGGUCACGUGUAGCUUAGCCUCUAAGUGCAUGUCUUUUAUUUCUACAGCUUAAUAGCUGAUCUCUGUGAAUCUUCCUUUUGACCUCUCGCUGACCUGGAACAUUUUGUUUAAGGGAACUAGAGACUUAUUGUUCAGGGUCAUACCUAGCAGAGUGCUGGCUCAACAUGUGUUUGAUGGAAAGGUUUUUUUUAAAAAGAGAGAUUAGUAAAUGGAAAGUAAUUUAGGGGGUCCUUAGGCUUCCUUUAUCCCUAACAGAUCUUACCACCUCCACAAGGGCUUGUUGGGGCCAAGUUAAAAGAGGAGUUGGUGAUAACUGGGCUGAGGCUCCUGCUCAGCCACACUGAGGUCUCUAGGGCAUCAGGACCCACCGAAUCCCCUGUCCCUCACCUAUAUCCUGGGGAGGAUCAUAUUCUAUCUAUUCUAGGAUGCACAGUUUUCACCUGCUAAAAUAUCUCUGAAACUGCGGUAUGUCUUCCAGGCAAUGCAGGAAUAGGGGAUUGGGUGCUGUUUACUCUUGCGCCCCUCCCUCCAGGAGGAGCCUCCAUCCCAUCUGCUGAACUCAGGGGUGGCCAUGUGACUUGCUCUGGCCAAUGGACUAUGUAGGGAAGUGACAUGUAUCACUUUCAGACUGAAGCUUUAAAAGGCAGCCACAGCUCACCUUCAACAGGCAGUAGUUCCAGAUGGAGGCUACCCCAUGGACGUGGGUCCUACAGUGAAGAAGAUGAGGAACUAAGUCAUAGCCAACAGGCAUUGAAGAGGAGAGAAACAAACCUUUCUUCUUUAGCCGUUAAACUUUGGGGCCCUAUUUUGACAACACAAUCUAGCAUAUCCUGACUGGUACUGCAUCUUUCAGUUAACUGACAGAUUUUUUUCUUGGCAGUACAUAAUGGUGCCACUCACUAUCAGUGUGAUUGUAUUGUCAACACAGUGAAACACAGUAUACCUCUCACAUACUGAAUGAGUUGAUCCAUAUAAAUCACAUAGCACAAUGCCUUGCCUACAGUGAGUGUCCAAUCCAUGUUAGCCAUUGUGUAUUUGCAGCCCUGUGUACAUACCCAGUGUUCGUUACGAGUUUAGGGUAAUGACCUGAUGACACAGAAAGUUGGCAGCCCUGCCAGAUGCCUUGUGGAAUGAGAAAGGGUAUAAAUAAGCUCAAGUAAAUAAAAGUGUGGCUCUGA
Manis javanica (Malayan pangolin) is the source of this 2361-nucleotide long non-coding RNA. RefSeq lists it as uncharacterized. Lineage: Eukaryota; Metazoa; Chordata; Mammalia; Pholidota; Manidae. The record is from RefSeq and is a predicted model, not a curated record.